This is a long non-coding RNA of Medicago truncatula (barrel medic), 543 nucleotides long. RefSeq lists it as uncharacterized. The transcript is spliced from 3 exons. The record is from RefSeq and is a predicted model, not a curated record. Lineage: Eukaryota; Viridiplantae; Streptophyta; Magnoliopsida; Fabales; Fabaceae.
GCUUCUUCACAUAAUGUUUGUAAGUUUCCUGCAGAGUUGUCACUGCCGAGAAGGGAAAAGUAAGAGAGCCACUCAAGCAAAGCACACUCACAGGCCAUCUGUCGAUUAGUAGAGCUGCGCUUCACAAGCAAAGAGAGAUGAGAAAUGCUGUAUCAACAUCACAUUGUUCACAGUCUAAUACAAUUGAAUAUGCGAUGGCCAUCGAAUGGGCACAUCAAUAUGAUAAGUCAGAAGCAUGUUGGAAGUACAUAUGUGAGCAACAAAUGAAGGAGAUAGAUAAUGUGAAGAGGAAACUUAGAAGAGAAGAGACAGCAUAUUUUUUUGAAGCCUGAUAGUUUUUUUUAAAGAUAAAUAUGAAUUUACAAUAUUUGUUUUUCUCCCAUUGUAACCGAGAAUUUUGGCAGGGAAACAUGAUUUAGUUGUGUUUCCGUAGAUACAAGGAAACCACUCGUGUUUCAGCUGUUUGUACAUUUUUUUUUAUCAAUGUUAGUACAUUGCAUUCUGAACAACUUGAUGGCAAAUUAAUAUUGCAAUUUUUUUUUU